GUUAACCAAGUUAACCAUUUAGAUCAAUUCCAAAAACAACAUCAGAGUUUUACAAGGUUUAUAAGAAAACAGCAGAAGGUAAAACAACAAGCGGAAGCUACUUCGUCGGGGUCGGACAUCCCUGGUGAGGCCAACCGGGACGUCAGUGAUCCCUCUCCUCGCCGUCCGAGGAGGGAUCCCACUCAACCGUCCAACCCGGAGGGAGUUGGG
This 210-nucleotide long non-coding RNA is filed under the name Setaria italica (foxtail millet). RNAcentral's name for it is "long non-coding RNA (SITA_LNC006875)". Lineage: Eukaryota; Viridiplantae; Streptophyta; Magnoliopsida; Poales; Poaceae. The record is from RNAcentral.